GCCGCCAUUUUACGACUAUAUAAUAAUGUUAUGUGUAUAUGAAUUUUUCCCACUUAAUUUUGUCGUUGAUAAAUGUUGGUAUGGCAUACCCAUUAUAAUAUGUAGUGCCUUAUAUGAAAUAACGUAUUGUUAUGGGCUACGAAAUCAUUGAGGUUAUCCUGUAGCGUCCAACAGUGAAGGGUGAAACAUGGCGUCGUGACGCCGACCUAAGUCCGGACCGGUAAUGAAGGCAGACUCCGCGUCCAGAGUUCCAGAAGAUGCAGGGGAAAACGUACCUUCAUGAUCGUAUUCUCGUGGCUAAUGACAAAAGAACACGGGAUGGCCACAAUUCUACGAAUCCGAGAAAUCUAUGAAACCAGCUAUGCGCCUGUACUACGCAGGCUGCUUAAAAGUCAUGACCAUACUUAUUUUAAGCUAAAUGAUAUUAACUAGUAUUCAUUUAAUAAUAUUCACAAUCGCGAGCACAGCUACAAGCAUUUUGACGAAAACAACAACCUUCCACAACAACAGUUGCAAGGACGAAUUUCUUUGGACACAAGCGCUACGAUCUCCAGUUCAAGAUAAUAGAAUAAGAACACUACCUAUAAGGGAGCCAGGAGUACAGCAUAUUCAGAUGUUGGCUUGCAUAGCCGUUGAGACCUGAGCACCUUCUCGCCACUCGUACCCACAUGACUUGCAUAGCUUGCCAAAAAAAAAUCGAAUGGUCACAAUAAAAUUCCACGUGUCCGAGAAAUCUAUAAAACCAGGUAUAUCUAUAUUCUAUACCCAGGAUUCUUGUCAGCAUAAUCAAAUGUCGGAUGGCAUAGCCAUUGAGAACUGAGCACCUCUCGCCACUCGUACCGAUAUGACUUGAAUAGAAAUUGUCUUCAGCUAUUUAUGUGAAAACCGCAAUUGUAUGGAUCUCAAGCAGUGCUCAUACAACAACUGGUGCAGUCAAUAAAGGAUUUUUAAAGACGAGGCAACCAUAAAAGGCACACUGUUGACACGGAAGACCUGCAAUAUUCCUCGUCAAAAUUUCUGGAAAUGGAACCAAAAACAACAACAUUGCAGCACCGUCACAAUCAACAUAUCAUCAUUGAAGAACCUUGCAUUUUGUGAGUGAAUAGCACGGUUUAAGAUAUACUGGUUACGCAACUGAUACGUAAAAUAAUACGAAUUUGUGGCCCCUUCCGUUAUGUUCAGUUUAGGCUCCUAAAUGCAUGUAGAACUAAUAUUGAG
Acyrthosiphon pisum (pea aphid) is the source of this 1218-nucleotide long non-coding RNA. RefSeq lists it as uncharacterized. NCBI's taxonomy places the organism in Eukaryota, Metazoa, Arthropoda, Insecta, Hemiptera, Aphididae. The record is from RefSeq and is a predicted model, not a curated record. The transcript is spliced from 3 exons.